GAGUACGUGAAACCGUUCAGGGGUAAACCUGAGAAACCCGAAAGGUCGAAAGGGGAGAUUCAGCGUGUCUCGAUUGCGGCGCUGGAUGGUCGUGCGACGGAAGACGUACGCGUCAUCCGCACCUUCCGUCUUCCGAACCGUAGUCGAACGCGUGCACUUCUCCCCCUGUAGGACGUCGCGAUCCGUUGGGUGCCGGUCUAAGGCCCGCAGUGGAGCCCGUUCGGACGGUUUACCGUUCCGGACGAACCUGCGGUGUUUCCCGGUCGGCUCGCUCGACGGUAUACAGAUGGCGCGGGGCCGCUACGCAUUAGUUAGCGUCCGACCGGCGGCAAGCGCGCUCGUCGGACGGUGAUCGGACCUGGUGCCGGUCCUGUCCCCGAGUGGCUGUUCGCUGCCGUGUUCUCGGACAGACCUCGUCGAAACGCCGAUCUGCGACUAUACUUUGGGUACUUUCAGGACCCGUCUUG
Molecule: ribosomal RNA, 467 nt
Filed under: Stenomorpha hispidula
Lineage: Eukaryota; Metazoa; Arthropoda; Insecta; Coleoptera; Tenebrionidae
Description: eukaryotic LSU rRNA
Source: RNAcentral